GGAAGAAGGCCUUCGGUUGUAACCGCUUUCAGACGGAAAGAAAUCGCAUGGACUAAUACUCUGUGUGGAUGACGGUACCGUAAGAAGAAGCACCGGCUAACUACGUGCCAGCAGCCGCGGUAAUACGUAGGGUGCGAGCGUUAAUCGGAAUUACUGGGCGUAAAGCGUGCGCAGGCGGUUUCUUAAGCCAGACGUGAAAUCCCCGGGCUUAACCUGGGAACUGCGUUUGGAACUGGGAGACUAGAGUGUGUCAGAGGGAGGUGGAAUUCCCGCGUGUAGCAGUGAAAUGCGUAGAUAUGCGGAGGAACACCGAUGGCGAAGGCAGCCUCCUGGGAUAACACUGACGCUCAUGCACGAAAGCGUGGGGAGCAAACAGGAUUAGAUACCCUGGUAGUCCACGCCCUAAACCGAAUGUCAACUGGCUGUUGGGAGAGAAAAUCUUUCAGUAGCGAAGCUAACGCGUGAAGUUGACCGCCUGGGGAGUACGGCCGCAAGG
This 496-nucleotide ribosomal RNA is filed under the name uncultured bacterium. RNAcentral's name for it is "bacterial SSU rRNA". It matches the Rfam family "Bacterial small subunit ribosomal RNA", at positions 406 to 893 of the family's 1533-position model. The record is from RNAcentral.